AACAGUUGGAAACGACUGCUAAUACCGCAUAAGCCCACGGGUCGGCAUCGACCUGAGGGAAAAGGAGUGAUCCGCUUUGAGAUGGCCUCGCGUCCGAUUAGCUAGUUGGUGAGGUAACGGCCCACCAAGGCGACGAUCGGUAGCCGGACUGAGAGGUUGAACGGCCACAUUGGGACUGAGACACGGCCCAGACUCCUACGGGAGGCAGCAGUGGGGAAUAUUGCACAAUGGGGGAAACCCUGAUGCAGCGACGCCGCGUGGAGGAAGAAGGUCUUCGGAUUGUAAACUCCUGUUGUUGGGGAAGAUAAUGACGGUACCCAACAAGGAAGUGACGGCUAACUACGUGCCAGCAGCCGCGGUAAAACGUAGGUCACAAGCGUUGUCCGGAAUUACUGGGUGUAAAGGGAGCGCAGGCGGGAAGACAAGUUGGAAGUGAAAUCUAUGGGCUCAACCCAUAAACUGCUUUCAAAACUGUUUUUCUUGAGUAGUGCAGAGGUAGGCGGAAUUCCCGGUGUAGCGGUGGAAUGCGUAGAUAUCGGGAGGAACACCAGUGGCGAAGGCGGCCUACUGGGCACCAACUGACGCUGAGGCUCGAAAGUGUGGGUAGCAAACAGGAUUAGAUACCCUGGUAGUCCACACCGUAAACGAUGAUUACUAGGUGUUGGAGGAUUGACCCCUUCAGUGCCGCAGUUAACACAAUAAGUAAUCCACCUGGGGAGUACGACCGCAAGGUUGAAACUCAAAGGAAUUGACGGGGGCCCGCACAAGCAGUGGAGUAUGUGGUUUAAUUCGACGCAACGCGAAGAACCUUACCAAGUCUUGACAUCCUUACUACGCAAGAGGACUCUGGCCAGACUGCCGUUGACAAAACGGAGGAAGGUGGGGAUGACGUCAAAUCAUCAUGCCCUUUAUGACUUGGGCUACACACGUACUACAAUGGCGUUAAACAAAGAGAAGCAAGACCGCGAGGUGGAGCAAAACUCAGAAACAACGUCCCAGUUCGGACUGCAGGCUGCAACUCGCCUGCACGAAGUCGGAAUUGCUAGUAAUCGUGGAUCAGCAUGCCACGGUGAAUACGUUCCCGGGCCUUGUACACACCGCCCGUCACACCAUGAGAGCCGGGGGGACCCGAAGUCGGUAGUCUAACCGCAAGGAGGACGCCGCCGAAGGUAAAACUGGUGAUUGGGGUGAAGUCGUAACAAGGUAGCCGUAGGAGAACCUGCGGCUG
This 1228-nucleotide ribosomal RNA is filed under the name human gut metagenome. RNAcentral's name for it is "bacterial SSU rRNA". It matches the Rfam family "Bacterial small subunit ribosomal RNA", at positions 145 to 1520 of the family's 1533-position model. The record is from RNAcentral.